CUUAGUUAAUUCUACUAGUAGUUAUAUACUUAUCUUAAAGAUUAAGCUAUAUAUAUCUAAGUAUAAGUAAUUAUAUAGUAAAACUAUAAAUAGCUUAUUAUAUAAGUUAUUAUUUAUUUAAUAGUACUUUACUAUAUAGAUAACUAUAGUAAUUCUAAAGCUAAUAUAUACUAAAAACCUUAACUUAUAAAGAGGUGUAUUUAUUAGAUUAAAAACUAAUGCCUUUUAGGGCUUACUAGUGAUUUAUAAUAACUUCUUAAAUUGUAUAGCCUUAUGCUAGUAAUAGUUUAUUUAAAUUUCUUCCUUAUUAACUUUUAAUACUAAAGUAGUGUUUUAGUAUAGUUAUAAUAAGUAAUAGAGGGUUAGGGCUUAACCCUAGAAAAAAAGCUUAAGAAAUAGCUACUAUAUCUAAGGAAGGCAGUAGGCAUGUAAAUUACCUAAUCCUAAUAUAGGGAGGUAGUAAUAAUAAAUACUAAUAUAGGGCUCUUUUAGGUCUUAUAAUUAAAAUAAGUAUAAUUUAAAUCUCUUAAUAAGAAAUAAUUAGAGGGUAAGUCUAGUACUAGUAGCUGUAGUAAUUCUAGCUUUAAUAGCGUAUAUUAAAGUUAUUAUAGUUAAAAAGCUUAUAGUAGAACCUUAGGCCUAGCUAGCUAGUCUGCCUUACUGCAUGCACUAGUCUAGCUAGGCCUUUUCCUCUAUAGAACUGUAUGCCCUUUACUAGGUGUGCUAGGGAAGUAGGACUUUUACUUUAAAAAAAUUAAAGUGCUUUAGGUAGGCCUAUACUUAAAUAUAUUAGUAUAAAAUAAUAGAAUAGGACGUGUAGUUCUAUUUUAUUAGUUUCUAGGACUGCUAUAAUAAUUAAUAAGGAUAGUUAGGGGUAUUAGUAUUUAAUUAUUAGAGGUAAAAUUCUUAGAUUUAUUAAAGACUAACUACUGUAAAAGUAUUUACUAAGGAUGUUUUUAUUUAUUAGGAAUAAAAGUUAGAAGAUUAAAGAUAAUUAGAUACUGUUAUAGUCUUAACUAUAAACUAUACUAACUAGGGAUUAGAUAAUAUUAUUUUUUAACUUAUUUAGUACCUUAUAAGAAAUUAAAGUGCUUAGGCUUUAGGGGGAGUAUAGUUAUAAGGCUAAAACUUAAAGAAAUUAAUAGAAGGGCACUACUAGGGGUAAAGCCUAUAGCUUAAUUUAACUUAAUAUAGGGAAACUUACUAGGUCUAGAUAUAAUAAGGAUUAAUAGAUUAAGAGCUUUUUCUUAAUUUUAUAGGUAGUAAUAUAUAGCUGUUCUUAGUUAGUAAAGUAAUUUAUUUACUUAAUUAUAAUAAUAAAUAAGACCUUAACCUGCUAAAUAGCCUGUAUUACUUUAGUAGUAUGCUGGCUUCUUAAAGGGACUAUUAGCUUAAGCUAAUAGAAG
This 1406-nucleotide ribosomal RNA is filed under the name Colletotrichum graminicola. RNAcentral describes it as "SSU rRNA". It matches the Rfam family "Eukaryotic small subunit ribosomal RNA", at positions 3 to 1443 of the family's 1831-position model. Lineage: Eukaryota; Fungi; Ascomycota; Sordariomycetes; Glomerellales; Glomerellaceae. The record is from RNAcentral.